RNAcentral lists this unclassified non-coding RNA (481 nucleotides) under Hevea brasiliensis (rubber tree). The record is from RNAcentral. Lineage: Eukaryota; Viridiplantae; Streptophyta; Magnoliopsida; Malpighiales; Euphorbiaceae.
AUAUAUAUAUAUAAUCACAGACUUUCUUAUGCUAAUUAAAUGGGCGCAUCUCUCUAUCUUUCAGUAUUUUGACCAACAAACAGCGAACAUAAUAAUAAUAAUAAUUAAACAGAAAAAUUAUUCCUGCCCUAGCUAAUUUUAUGUCCACUAACAGUAAACAGUCAUAGAGAAACCCAAAUCUAACAUGAAAAUCACAUAUUUCACUUGGCUUUGUAAUUAAUAUUCAUCAUACCCACAGAGCUCCAACUUCGACGAGCUUUGGGACGAGGUGGCCGCUGAGGUGGAGAGCGACGAGGGACUCGAGGCCGCCAACGCAAGUUCCACCAAUGAAGAGGGCGGGAGCAAGAUUGCGAGGGGCAUCAUCGUUAUCGUGAGAGGGAGGUGGAAGAGGGAGAGCAGAGAUCUCAUGGUCAUCUAACUCGAUGACAGUAGGGUGGACACCGAUGGUGGCGAGCAACUUCUUCAUGACGUGGCACAUGCA